UACGUAGGGUGCAAGCGUUAAUCGGAAUUACUGGGCGUAAAGCGUGCGCAGGCGGUUGUGCAAGACCGAUGGGAAAUCCCCGGGCUUAACCUGGGAAUGGCAUUGGUGACUGUACGGCUAGAGUGUGUCAGAGGGGGGUAGAAUUCCACGUGUAGCAGUGAAAUGCGUAGAGAUGUGGAGGAAUACCGAUGGCGAAGGCAGCCCCCUGGGAUAACACUGACGCUCAUGCACGAAAGCGUGGGGAGCAAACAGG
RNAcentral lists this ribosomal RNA (253 nucleotides) under uncultured bacterium. RNAcentral describes it as "partial 16S ribosomal RNA". It matches the Rfam family "Bacterial small subunit ribosomal RNA", at positions 524 to 776 of the family's 1533-position model. The record is from RNAcentral.